Molecule: small RNA, 86 nt
Filed under: Epilithonimonas lactis
Lineage: Bacteria; Pseudomonadati; Bacteroidota; Flavobacteriia; Flavobacteriales; Weeksellaceae
Description: Chryseobacterium halperniae Flavo-1 RNA
Rfam family: Flavo-1 RNA
Source: RNAcentral
UAAUAGCCCUGAUGGAAACGGCAUCCUUUUUUUGCGGCUGGAAUUUAGCUUUGGAAAAAAAGAUACAGUGGACAGCAGGAAAUAGC